AGCGUUAAGUCAAGCGUGGGUUUGCUGCUUCGAGACAAUGGAGUUGGACCUGGUUUACUGCUUUCCGGACCCAUUUACAGUUUUCAGGCACUGACGUCUACAUGAAGAGGCGUUUGGUAUGGAGAAGUGUGGUUCCAACUAAAACACUGUUAGUAACUCCCAUCAAUAACAUCAAGUGACCUUGGCCCGGCAGAUGUAACAGCUGCUACUGAUUUCACUUCAAGUGCUGCCAUCUGGUGGUAAUGGUUCUGCUUGAAAUGGCAUGAAAAUGCUCCCAGAAGACAUUUUUUCAGCAUUGUUUGAAUCUCAACUUCACAGUUCUGUCAAUGUAACACCCUUCACUAGAAUUUUGAUGACUGGAUACUGGACUUGAUAAAAUUGUUUCAGACGUGCUACUGAAGUGAAUGCCAUCAGCCUUAAGUUAUGACACAACUUGUCAGGACUUUUGGAGGUCUCAGUACUUCUUAUACUGCUAAGAUCAUUACAAGAGAGAAGGAGAGAGAGAGAAAGAGAGGGGCACAGACACACAAGUUAUUGAACAAUUUAUUAAGAUGCCAGCAAGUGCUGAAUCAAGACAGUCAUAAGACAUCCAGGAUUCAAGGAACUUCACCUAUGGUUACUGAAUGCACUCAGCACUAUUCAUUGUUUUUAACAAGAAGUUCAAAGGAUUGUAGAUCUCUUGUGGUUCAACUAAGUGAUUCCUUUCCCUACCUUAUGGUUGACUAGAUAAUAAAAUCAAUGCAA
Molecule: long non-coding RNA, 744 nt
Organism: Protopterus annectens (West African lungfish)
Lineage: Eukaryota; Metazoa; Chordata; Ceratodontiformes; Protopteridae
Exons: 3
Source: RefSeq, a predicted model, not a curated record